CUGCAACUGACUCAAGAAAAAGGAUACACAUUUCUAAGCCAGCAGUUAGGCUGAGAGCUGCUAACAACUGAAUAGACAAGGCCAAUUAUUCCUUCCUAUUCUACCCUAAGUGUGCCAACAGUGAAUGAGGAACCUUAGAGAAGAGUAAUAUAUGCAAGUUUAACCCAGCACAAUCAACUAUGAAAAAUGAUAGAAAUCAAUGCAGUUCAUCAAGAAAGCGGGAGAAAAGUAUCAAAGGCAAACAAGGAGGAUUUUAAAAAGGACAUGAGCCAUCUCCCUGUACCCCAUGAAAGAAUCCCUGCUAGAGACUCUAUGAACAAUUGGUCCUAUGGAUUUCAAUGCAUGGAAAGCAGCUUGCUCUUCAAUGGCACACUGCUCUUUCAGUGCAACUGUCACUGGAGGAUGCAAGUAUAGU
Molecule: long non-coding RNA, 415 nt
Filed under: Crocodylus porosus (Australian saltwater crocodile)
Lineage: Eukaryota; Metazoa; Chordata; Crocodylia; Crocodylidae
Description: lncRNA (ENSCPRG00005005621.1)
Source: RNAcentral